AUACGUAGGGGGCAAGCGUUGUUCGGAAUCAUUGGGCGUAAAGGGCGAGCAGGCGGUCCUGCAAGUCCGGCGUGAAAGACCCCGGCCCAACCGGGGGGACGCGCUGGAAACUGUGGGGCUUGAGUACAGGAGGGGAUGCCGGAAUUCCAGGUGUAGGGGUGAAAUGUGUAGAUAUCUGGAAGAACACCAAUGGCGAAGGCAGGCAUCUGGCCAUGUACUGACGCUGAGACGCGAAGGUGCGGGGAGCAAGCAGGUUUAGAUACCCUGGUAGUCCGCACAGUAAACGAUGUGCACCAGGUGGCGGGGGGUCGACCCUCGGUACCGUAGCUAACGCAUUAAGUGCACCGCCUGGGGAGUAUGCUCGCAAGGGUGAAACUCAAAGGAAUGGACGGGG
This 394-nucleotide ribosomal RNA is filed under the name uncultured bacterium. RNAcentral's name for it is "partial 16S ribosomal RNA". It matches the Rfam family "Bacterial small subunit ribosomal RNA", at positions 523 to 918 of the family's 1533-position model. The record is from RNAcentral.